Molecule: long non-coding RNA, 259 nt
Organism: Prinia subflava (tawny-flanked prinia)
Lineage: Eukaryota; Metazoa; Chordata; Aves; Passeriformes; Cisticolidae
Exons: 3
Source: RefSeq, a predicted model, not a curated record
GCGGAAAGACUCUGAAACUCAGAGGCAGAGCGAGUUUUAAAGUAGGGGUCUCAGGGAUGAAGGAAGGAGUCUUCCUCUCGAGAUGAACUUUUGACCCUGCCGCCUUGCGCAUGCUCACUGGUUCUCUGGUCAUAGUUCAAGCUGUAAGGGCUGGGCCAGGAUCUUGGGGGUUUCUGGCUGCUGCGGGGCUACUGUGCACGGUUGCAGAGAAGCGGCUAGGAUCCCAAUAGCUGUGUGCCCGUGGCUAGGGUUCUUCCCC